This is a long non-coding RNA of Cyprinus carpio carpio, 3069 nucleotides long. The record is from Ensembl. Lineage: Eukaryota; Metazoa; Chordata; Actinopteri; Cypriniformes; Cyprinidae.
GGAAAUCUGCACAAGAACUAUGUGUGCUUGCUAAUUUUGUCGUAGGUCAAGCCAAAUUGGCAAUUUUGAAGUCUCAUCAAGAAAAAAAUGCAGGAAGAGAUGUUUGUAUUGUGGUUUUAUUCAAAUCCUUAGUGGAAUCACGAGUGAUUAUAGAAUAUACAUAUUAUAAGCAUAUUAAUAAUGUUCUUUUUUUUAAAAGGAGAUGGUGUGUUAAGGAAGCACUGGUUGUAGUGAAUGAUAAUGGGGGGUUGGUUUUUAAUUGCCACCUUCAAGUGUAGAUGCAGAAGGAGAUCAAUGCACACCACAUCGCAACAGACAAGACAAGCCCAAAGAAUCUUUCCACCAUUUAAAAAUAUCAUGGAUCAGACUCCAGACAUUUCCACAGACCACAAGAGAGAGAAGCAGUCAAAAGCAUCAUCGAACAUCCCAAAGAAUCUGCCAUUGUUUGUAAUUCUAAUGCAUGAUUUUUUACAAAAAAUUCCUGUUUUCAGCUCUUUCCCUAUUAGUCUUUCGUUAAUUGGAUUUGAGGAGUUGAUGGAGCUAAAAGUUUUUGUAUGCCCAUGCAGACAUGAUCUGAAUAUAUGGCUAACAACAUCUAUUUUACUUAGUCCUCCUUUUUUUAUUUUUGCUUUAAUGUAUUUUGUUUUAAGACCUUUUAAACAUGAUUGGUUUCAUUGUUCUCAAAGAGAGAAUGAUACUCGGCAGAACUGGCCUAAAGCUUUAGCACAUUGUCUGAUGCCAUCUGCAAUGUGGAUCAUCAUCUUGUUACUUGAUGGUGAUUAUAUUGCUUGUGCCAUGACAGACUGGAAGGGAGUUUAUGUGUUUGAUGUUGAGCUCAACAGGUCGUGGUGUAAACCCAAUGAAGACAUGCGAAAUGCGGCAGAGCUCCGAGAUUUGAAUCGCCAGUAUAUUUAUAAAUCACAGAUUUUAGGUUAUUCCGCAAGCUUUAUCUUAAGUGUAAUAACAAUAACCUUAAUGGUUAUUUUUGACUGCCACAUAAGUGGGAGAUGUGACUUCUGCCCAAAAUGCUGCAGACCAACAGCAGAGAUACAGACUGAGAAACAAGGUUCUGCUACAAUGGGACAGGAACUGCAAGGGUCAGGGAGUUCUGCUACAAUGGGACAGGAACUGCAAGGGUCAGGGAGUUCUGCUACAAUGGGACAGGAACUGCAAGGGUCAGGGAGUUCUGCUACAAUGGGACAGGAACUGCAAGGGUUGGGGAGUUCUGCUACAAUGGGACAGGAACUGCAAGGGUUGGGGAGUUCUGCUACAAUGGGACAGGAACUGCACUGGUUAGGGAGUUCUGCUACAAUGGGACAGGAACUGCAAGGGUUAGGGAGUUCUGCUACAAUGGGACAGGAACUGCAAGGGUCAGGGAGUUCUGCUACAAUGGGACAGGAACUGCAAGGGUCAGGGAGUUCUGCUACAAUGGGACAGGAACUGCAAGGGUUGGGGAGUUCUGCUACAAUGGGACAGGAACUGCAAGGGUUGGGGAGUUCUGCUACAAUGGGACAGGAACUGCAAGGGUUAGGGAGUUCUGCUACAAUGGGACAGCAAGAUUCAAGGAGUUCUGCCUCAGUGAGACAUAAACUACAAGGGGCAGAGGGUUUUGCUGCAGUGUCAUGGCAAUUAGAGAGUUCUGAUAUAGUGCGACAAGGAAAUAAAGGGUUAGGAAGAUCUGCUCUAGCAGGACAUGGACAACAAAUGUCAGGGAGUUCUGCUCCAAUGGGUUCUAUUACAAAAACACCGGAACGGCAAAUGCUACUGCAAUUUCCAUAGCAACUUAAAAAAAAAAAAAAAGUGAAAGGCCAUCUACUAACAACAGACCAGUUAUUAACAAAUUGAUUUCUCUCUAUCUUUAUUAAACAAAACUAUCCUAUGCCAUCAGAUACCAAAUGUGACACACAAGUACAUUAAACUGUUUUGUCAGAAAGAAGAAAGGAUGAUCAAGAUCCUUCAGAAGCUGCAGAAACUUUGCAUAUUUGAAUAUUUAUAUUUUGUAAUGAAUUAUAUUAGAUAAACUUCUGAACUUCAGAUAAAUAUAGGCAGAUAUUUUGCAUGUGCAAAUUUUUUAAAGCACGUCUCUUUUAAUGGGAAAAUACCUUUUUGUGAAAUGAUUUGCUUGGAAUAGUCUGUUUCUGUAAAGCAUGUUUCGAUGGAGGGGGGAAAAAAAAGGAUAGGGCCGGUUCUAGACAUUUGGAGGCCCAAGGCAAAAUUCAUGUUGGAGCGCCCCCACCCACAAUAAAAAGCACUUGAAACAAAUAUGAUUCCUAACCUUUGUAUUUAUACAACAUUUGCAUUGAUGCAUUGCAUAAACUUACUUUUACGUACAUUUUUACGUAUACAGUACAAUUCAAAUGUAGCACCCUCUUCCUCCUCAGGGUGGCUUACCUGAGCACUUAGGAUGGGCACUUGGGUUCGAUAUGGGACAGUCUCUCGACUAAAUAAACUUAGGUCCCUCUCCUCAAUCACUGAUUAGAAAGUAAAGAUGUUAACUUUUAAAAUUGCCCUUAUAGGUCAAAUUAAAUCAACCCAAUGAAACCACUGAAACCCUUUACUCUGGUUAUAUAGAUACUUUCCUUUAACCCAUAAUAACUUCACUGCAAUCACUCAAAUUAACACUAUGAUAGUGUUUAUUUAACAAAAUAAAUCUAAAAGAAAAAGGGAAAAAAUCUAAUCAGAAUUUACAGAAGUCACAGCAAUUAAACAGGCUUUAGUCAGAUUGCCCUUUUUACACUACACCUUUUAACUGUGUUACUCUAAAUGCACAAAUAAGGCAAUUUAAACUUGAUCCCAAGUUCAAUGGAAAAACAUUAUCAAACUGUUCCUUAGAUAUUGCAAUUGCAAUGCAACAUAACCAUAUUAACUCACGUGGGCCCACUCACACACAUACAUACAUUCAGAGCCAAACAAAAUGUGAACUGAGGUACCUUUAAUCCAAUGAGUUCUCCCAAUUUAGGAUCCUCGAAUCAUGGGUACUUGACCAAUUGUAAAGUUGCAGUGCUCUUUUCGUGUGUGUGUGUGUGUGUGUGUGUGUGUGUGUGUGUGUGUGUGUGUGUGUGUGUGUGU